GUGAGACGAAAAAAAUAGGUUUGUGUGUCUGAUGAUGUGUGUCCCUUCUCUUUUCAUCUGAUGAGGUUUAUGUCCCUUCGCCUAAAUCUGUGAGAUUGGGUUGGAAAAUCCUCUGAUUGCUUGAUUCUCUCUUUAUUUAGAAUAUUCUGGAUUGUCAUCAAUUUCUUUGAUUUCUUUCCUCGUAUGACUUCUGCCACGUGCAUGAAAAUCCUUCGAAAAUCUUGGGUCUGAUUCCAUGGGUUGAGCUUGGACAUGCAAAACUUUGGCUUGACAUUUGGUGGAACCUUGUGACCUUUAAGUCUCUGGAAUUCUAAACCUCUGGAGUUCUAGGCUUGCCCAAUGGGAGGCCACAUCCUUUAGCUAAUGGGAGGCCACAUGCUUGGCCAAUGAGAGGUCCCUCCUUGGUGGAUUUGGUCUAGGUAGACCUCUUGUUAGCAGAUUGGAGACUAACUUUGCGAAGGAUUGGAGAUUCCUCCUUGACGGAUUUCACCUUGGCGGAUUUGUUCUAGGUGGACCUCUUCUUGGUGGAUUGGAGAUCUGGAGGAUUUGGAGAUUCCUCCUUGGUGGAUUGGAGGUCUCCGACUUAAGGGAUUGGAGACCAACUCUUUGGAGGUUUUAGAGAUUCCUUCUUGGCAUAUUGGAGACCAACCCACCGAUGGAUUUGCAUAUUCCUCCUUGGCGGUUUGGAGGUCUUCGAAAUUGGCACAUUGGAGACUAGCCCUCCGGAAGAUUGGAGGUUCUUCCUUGGUAGAUUUCACCUUGGCGGAUCUCAUCUCGGCGAAUCUGACCUCAGUGGGCCUUAUCUUAGCGGAUCUCACCUUGACGGAUUUGGGAAAAUUUGACCACCCCCAAACACAUACUUUAUGAAUUUAUUGAAUUAUAUAGGUCCUCCUUUUUCCCUUUAGGUUUAGAGAUUUAAUUUAUAUAUGAGUG
RNAcentral lists this long non-coding RNA (933 nucleotides) under Prunus dulcis (almond). Its description in RNAcentral is "sRNA ncRNA". Lineage: Eukaryota; Viridiplantae; Streptophyta; Magnoliopsida; Rosales; Rosaceae. The record is from RNAcentral.